RNAcentral lists this long non-coding RNA (1264 nucleotides) under Salmo salar (Atlantic salmon). Its description in RNAcentral is "lncRNA (ENSSSAG00000111704.1)". Lineage: Eukaryota; Metazoa; Chordata; Actinopteri; Salmoniformes; Salmonidae. The record is from RNAcentral.
ACCCUCACACACCCCCCUGCGCACGUGCCAGUCCUAAACAAAACGUACACACACACUUUUUCUGGUUUCAAAAGCACCCCAUGCAGAGACACACACACCCCUUUUUUGUUUUGUUUUGAAACACACACACACAAUUACCCUCCCUCACACGCACACACCCCCCUGCGCACGCACACGUCUUUCCGGAAUUCCUUUUUUCUCAAGCGCUGCCUGGGGAUGGCUCGAAAAUGCAUAGCCCCUAACUUUAAAGGGUUGUCACUGAACCCCAACCGCCGUCUGUGUCCAACUCCCCAGCGUCAAGACUCGGCCACUGCAUGCUGUGACAUGGGCCUGGAUGAUCACACACAUCUUCUUCAAGCUUACUGAUUGAAUACUGGGGCCUUCAGUGGUUCCGGAAGCAAGGGCCCUACCUAGGAGUACAGCAACUGUCUCUCUGUCUCACAGCCAUUCUGUCAACAUGUAUUGUUUGAAACCACUGAAAUUCAUGCAAACUAUUACAUAUGGAAAGCUGUGAAAGCCUGUUUGCAGAUGAAGAGAGUGUUCUAAUGAAUGUCCCAAGAGACUAAUGGCACAUUUUCAUAUCAGAUUUACCCGAGUGUUUUACUCAAAAGGCUCAGACUUUUCUGCUUCCAUCUACGAGGCCUGGCACCCGUUUCUUAGUGGGCCAUGGCUCCGGCAGACCUGCUCUCCCUUGGGUCCAAAGCCAGGCCACUGGUACUUUUGAGCUGGCAUUUACACAACAAUGACUAACUGUGAACUUGAACACCUUCUGACAAAGCAACUGUGUAUACAACAUUUGCUAACAUCGUGUAGGCCUACCUAUAUGUUAGCACAUGUUGUACACAAAAACAAAGUUAAACAUCACACACAAUGUCUAAACCUAUUACAAUUGGAGCAGGCCAACCAUGCUGGAGGUCUGCUGGGUGUGCAGGGUUCUCUUUCAGCCAAGCAACAACACAUCCGAUGUAACUUAUCAAACCUAAUGAGUUGAUAAUCAAGUGUGCUAUUGCUGGGCUGGAACAGAAUCUCUGCUCACCCAGUAGAUCAGGAAUCUUGCUUACCUGAAAUUAUGCUUUAGUAAUAAUAGCCUACUUGUUACUACUCGAUGAUCUACUAUUGUUUAGACAUACAAGUUAGCUUAUUUGUAAAUGUUUUGUUGAUGGUGUUGAUUCUUUGAAGUGAAGUGUUUAAACUUGUUUUAAUUGUUAAACUGUUCAAAAUGAACUAGUGCCAAUGUUGCUGCCAUAAAGAGGGGAAGGGAUUC